CCGCACUAGACGGGGAGCCAGCGGUGCCCUGUAUCCGCAAUCCGCUCUAGCGGAGUUGAAUCCCUCCCCUCGGCUAGGCCAAAGGACCCCUGUUCUGUCUGAUGAUAUAGAGGAUUGGGUCCUGCGCGACGUAGACUUGUGAACCCCGCCAGGUCCGGAAGGAAGCAACGGUAAGCAGGAUCCUGCGGGUGCCGCGGGAGCGCCUGGUCUGAGUUGUCACUCAGGACAUGCCCAGUGGUCAAUGACAACGGGAGGUGUGCGG
Molecule: signal recognition particle RNA, 262 nt
Filed under: Chloroflexota bacterium
Lineage: Bacteria; Bacillati; Chloroflexota
Also listed under: 2 other names
Description: signal recognition particle sRNA large type
Rfam family: Bacterial large signal recognition particle RNA
About the family: The signal recognition particle (SRP) is a universally conserved ribonucleoprotein involved in the co-translational targeting of proteins to membranes. Archaeal SRP consists of a 7S RNA and homologues of the eukaryotic SRP19 and SRP54 proteins.
Source: RNAcentral